GAUUAACGCUAUCGGCAGGCAUAAUACAUGCAAGUUGAACGGCAGCACAGGUAGCAAUACUGGGUGGCGAGUGGCGCACGGGUGCGUAACACGUAUGCAACCUACCCUAUACAGGCGAAUAACCUUUAGAAAUGAGGGCUAAUACGCCGUAGUAUUACAGAUGGGCAUCUAUUUGUAAUUAAAGAUUUAUCGGUAUAGGAUGGGCAUGCGUCCCAUUAGUUAGUUGGUAAGGUAACGGCUUACCAAGACGAUGAUGGGUAGGGGAUCUGAGAGGACUUACCCCCACACUGGUACUGAGACACGGACCAGACUCCUACGGGAGGCAGCAGUAAGGAAUAUUGGGCAAUGGCCGCGAGGCUGACCCAGCCAUGCCGCGUGCAGGAAGACGGCCUUAUGGGUUGUAAACUGCUUUUAUACGGGAAUAAUAGAGUGUACGCGUACAUUUAUGCAAGUAUCGUAUGAAUAAGCAUCGGCUAACUCCGUG
RNAcentral lists this ribosomal RNA (484 nucleotides) under uncultured bacterium. Its description in RNAcentral is "partial 16S ribosomal RNA". It matches the Rfam family "Bacterial small subunit ribosomal RNA", at positions 28 to 507 of the family's 1533-position model. The record is from RNAcentral.